UUUUUACUUGAGGAAGUUGGGAAGGAGGAACAGUGGGGUUUGAAUUCGAGAUCUCACUGUUCACAUACAAGAGGUCGCACCGAUUGGUGUCCCCUUGGGGACUAUUGCAUCGUAUGUUAGAUCAAUUAGAAAUUAUCUAUAUCGAUAUAUAAAUGUAGUAUUAGUGGAAUUUAGUAGGGGAUCUAUGAUGUUUGUUUUAUAUGGGGUGAUAAUUAUUUUAGAUUAUGCUUUAU
This 233-nucleotide long non-coding RNA is filed under the name Salvia miltiorrhiza (redroot sage). RNAcentral describes it as "long non-coding RNA (SMIL_LNC003091)". The record is from RNAcentral. Lineage: Eukaryota; Viridiplantae; Streptophyta; Magnoliopsida; Lamiales; Lamiaceae.